RNAcentral lists this transfer RNA (72 nucleotides) under Dactylococcopsis salina PCC 8305. RNAcentral describes it as "tRNA-Asn (GTT) (tRNA-Asn-GTT-1-1)". It matches the Rfam family "tRNA". Rfam says of the family: Transfer RNA (tRNA) molecules are approximately 80 nucleotides in length. Their secondary structure includes four short double-helical elements and three loops (D, anti-codon, and T loops). Lineage: Bacteria; Bacillati; Cyanobacteriota; Cyanophyceae; Nodosilineales; Cymatolegaceae. RNAcentral also lists the same sequence under 8 other names. The record is from Rfam by way of RNAcentral.
UCCUCAGUAGCUCAGCGGUAGAGCGGUCGGCUGUUAACCGAUUAGUCGCAGGUUCGAAUCCUGCCUGGGGAG